AUGAAGAAUGGAGGACAUUCCGUGGGACCGGCGGCAGCAGUGUUUGAUGACUGUUAUUUUAUAGCUUGUGAUUUUCCUUUUAUUAGGUUUGAACAUUGUAAUAGACAAGCAAAUAAGGUGGCUCACGAACUUGCUAGGCUAGCUAAAUUUUCAGUCAUGAAGGACUGGUUUGAGGAGCCAAUGAGGGACAUUGUACGUUUACUGAUUGGCGAUGUAACAAUUAUCUCUAAUCAAUAA
This 237-nucleotide ribosomal RNA is filed under the name Triticum aestivum (bread wheat). RNAcentral's name for it is "partial small subunit ribosomal RNA". The record is from RNAcentral. Lineage: Eukaryota; Viridiplantae; Streptophyta; Magnoliopsida; Poales; Poaceae.